CCUACGGGGGGCAGCAGUGAGGAAUAUUGGUCAAUGGACGAGAGUCUGAACCAGCCAAGUAGCGUGAAGGAUGACUGCCCUAUGGGUUGUAAACUUCUUUUAUAUGGGAAUAAAACGUUCCACGUGUGGGAUUUUGUAUGUACCAUAUGAAUAAGGAUCGGCUAACUCCGUGCCAGCAGCCGCGGUAAGACGGAGGAUCCGAGCGUUAUCCGGAUUUAUUGGGUUUAAAGGGAGCGUAGGUGGAUUGUUAAGUCAGUUGUGAAAGUUUGCGGCUCAACCGUAAAAUUGCAGUUGAAACUGGCAGUCUUGAGUACAGUAGAGGUGGGCGGAAUUCGUGGUGUAGCGGUGAAAUGCUUAGAUAUCACGAAGAACUCCGAUUGCGAAGGCAGUUCACUGGACUGCAACUGACACUGAGGCGCGAAAGUGUGGGUAUCAAACAGGAUUAGAUACCCGUGUAGUC
RNAcentral lists this ribosomal RNA (460 nucleotides) under uncultured bacterium. RNAcentral's name for it is "partial 16S ribosomal RNA". It matches the Rfam family "Bacterial small subunit ribosomal RNA", at positions 338 to 795 of the family's 1533-position model. The record is from RNAcentral.